AAAACUUUCAACAACGGAUCUCUUGGUUCUGGCAUCGAUGAAGAACGCAGCGAAAUGCGAUAAGUAAUGUGAAUUGCAGACACCGUGAAUCAUCGAAUCUUUGAACGCACAUUGCGCCCUUUGGUAUUCCGAAGGGCAUGCCUGUUCGAGCGUCAUU
RNAcentral lists this ribosomal RNA (157 nucleotides) under Pilidium eucalyptorum. RNAcentral's name for it is "5.8S ribosomal RNA". It matches the Rfam family "5.8S ribosomal RNA". From Rfam's summary of the family: 5.8S ribosomal RNA (5.8S rRNA) is a component of the large subunit of the eukaryotic ribosome. It is transcribed by RNA polymerase I as part of the 45S precursor that also contains 18S and 28S rRNA. Functionally, it is thought that 5.8S rRNA may be involved in ribosome translocation. Lineage: Eukaryota; Fungi; Ascomycota; Leotiomycetes; Chaetomellales; Chaetomellaceae. The record is from RNAcentral.